UACGGAGGGUGCAAACGUUGCUCGGAUUUACUGGGCGUACAGGGAGCGUAGGCGGUUGGGUAAGCCCUCCGUGAAAUCUCCAGGCUUAACCUGGAAAGUGCAGAGGGGACUGCUCGGCUAGAGGAUGGGAGAGGAGCGCGGAAUUCCCGGUGUAGCGGUGAAAUGCGUAGAGAUCGGGAGGAAGGCCGGUGGCGAAGGCGGCGCUCUGGAACAUUUCUGACGCUGAGGCUCGAAAGCGUGGGGAGCAAACAGG
RNAcentral lists this ribosomal RNA (253 nucleotides) under uncultured bacterium. RNAcentral describes it as "partial 16S ribosomal RNA". It matches the Rfam family "Bacterial small subunit ribosomal RNA", at positions 524 to 776 of the family's 1533-position model. The record is from RNAcentral.